This 643-nucleotide ribosomal RNA is filed under the name uncultured bacterium. Its description in RNAcentral is "bacterial SSU rRNA". It matches the Rfam family "Bacterial small subunit ribosomal RNA", at positions 232 to 885 of the family's 1533-position model. The record is from RNAcentral.
CGCGGCCUAUCAGCUUGUUGGUGAGGUAAUGGCUCACCAAGGCGACGACGGGUAGCCGGCCUGAGAGGGCGACCGGCCACACUGGGACUGAGACACGGCCCAGACUCCUACGGGAGGCAGCAGUGGGGAAUAUUGCACAAUGGGCGAAAGCCUGAUGCAGCGACGCCGCGUGAGGGAUGACGGCCUUCGGGUUGUAAACCUCUUUCAGCAGGGAAGGAGCGAAAGUGACGGUACCUGCAGAAGAAGCGCCGGCUAACUACGUGCCAGCAGCCGCGGUAAUACGUAGGGCGCAAGCGUUGUCCGGAAUUAUUGGGCGUAAAGAGCUCGUAGGCGGCUUGUCACGUCGGGUGUGAAAGCCCGGGGCUUAACCCCGGGUCUGCAUUCGAUACGGGCAGGCUAGAGUGUGGUAGGGGAGAUCGGAAUUCCUGGUGUAGCGGUGAAAUGCGCAGAUAUCAGGAGGAACACCGGUGGCGAAGGCGGAUCUCUGGGCCAUUACUGACGCUGAGGAGCGAAAGCGUGGGGAGCGAACAGGAUUAGAUACCCUGGUAGUCCACGCCGUAAACGGUGGGAACUAGGUGUUGGCGACAUUCCACGUCGUCGGUGCCGCAGCUAACGCAUUAAGUUCCCCGCCUGGGGAGUACGG